ACGUAUGGGGCUAGCGUUGUUCGGAAUUAUUGGGCGUAAAGGGCGUCUAGGCGGGGGAUUAAGUCGGGUGUGAAAUCCAUGGGCUCAACCCAGGUUCUGCAGCCAAAACUGGUUCUCUGGAGUAUGGGAGAGGAAAGUGGAAUUCCCGGUGUAGCGGUGAAAUGCGUAGAUAUCGGGAAGAACACCAGUGGCGAAGGCGGCUCUCUGGCCUAGAACGGACGCUGAAGCGCGAAAGCGUGGGAAGCGAACGG
This 251-nucleotide ribosomal RNA is filed under the name uncultured prokaryote. RNAcentral's name for it is "partial 16S rRNA". It matches the Rfam family "Bacterial small subunit ribosomal RNA", at positions 525 to 775 of the family's 1533-position model. The record is from RNAcentral.